CCGAAUUGUCGACACGAGUUGUUGCUGGCCCCCAAACGGGGCACGUGCACGCUCUGUUCACACAUCCACUCACACCUGUGCACCUCUGUAGUUCUGUGGCCUGGGAACUCUGUCCCCCUCGCUGCGGUUCUACGUCUUUACACACACGCCGUAACGAAGUCUUAUGGAAUGUAUGUCGCGUCUAACGCAAUACAAUA
This 197-nucleotide unclassified non-coding RNA is filed under the name uncultured Tomentella. Its description in RNAcentral is "sequence contains ITS1". The record is from RNAcentral. Lineage: Eukaryota; Fungi; Basidiomycota; Agaricomycetes; Thelephorales; Thelephoraceae.